AUUGAACGCUGGCGGCAGGCCUAACACCUGCAAGUCGAGCGGAGCGGCGGACGGGUGAGUAAUGACUAGGAAUCUGCCUGGUAGUGGGGGAUAACCUCCGGAAACGGGCGCUAAUACCGCAUACUAUCUUAUGAGCCUAGGUCGGAUUAGCUAGUUGGUGGGGUAAAGGCCUACCAAGGCGACGAUCCGUAACUGGUCGGAGAGGAUGAUCAGUCACACUGGAACUGAGAAACGGUCCAGAGUCCUACGGGAGGCAGCAGUGGGGAAUAUGGGACAAGGGGCGAAAGCCUGAGGCAGCCAUGCCGCGUGUGUGAAGAAGGGCUUCGGAUUGUAAAGCACUUUAAGUUGGGAGGCGUUACCAACAGAAUAAGCACCGGCUAACUUCGUGCCAGCAGCCGCGGUAAUAC
Molecule: ribosomal RNA, 407 nt
Filed under: uncultured bacterium
Lineage: Bacteria
Description: partial 16S ribosomal RNA
Rfam family: Bacterial small subunit ribosomal RNA
Source: RNAcentral